This 30-nucleotide non-coding RNA is filed under the name Mus musculus (house mouse). The record is from RNAcentral. Lineage: Eukaryota; Metazoa; Chordata; Mammalia; Rodentia; Muridae.
UAAGCACAAGGAAAAAGGUUUCUGAUGCUC